Molecule: ribosomal RNA, 465 nt
Filed under: uncultured bacterium
Lineage: Bacteria
Description: partial 16S ribosomal RNA
Rfam family: Bacterial small subunit ribosomal RNA
Source: RNAcentral
GACGAACGCUGGCGGCGUGCUUAACACAUGCAAGUCGAACGGAAAGGCCCUGCUUGCAGGGUACUCGAGUGGCGAACGGGAGAGUAACACGUGGGUGAUCUGCCCUGCACUUCGGGAUAAGCCUGGGAAACUGGGUCUAAUACCGGAUAGGAGCCAUUUUUAGUGUGAUGGUUGGAAAGUUUUUUCGGUGUAGGCUGAGCUCGCGGCCUAUCAGCUUGUUGGUGGGGUAAUGGCCUACCAAGGCGGCGACGGGUAGCCGGCCUGAGAGGGUGGACGGCCACAGUGGGACUGAGAGACGGCACAGACUGCUACGGGAGGCAGCAGGGGGGAAUAUUGCACAAGGGGCGCAAGCCUGAUGCAGCGACGCCGCGUGGGGGAUGACGGUCUUCGGGUUGUAAACUCCUUUCGCUAGGGACGAAGCUUUUUGUGACGGUACCUAGAUAAGAAGCACCGGCUAACUACGUG